This 468-nucleotide ribosomal RNA is filed under the name uncultured bacterium. RNAcentral describes it as "partial 16S ribosomal RNA". It matches the Rfam family "Bacterial small subunit ribosomal RNA", at positions 28 to 507 of the family's 1533-position model. The record is from RNAcentral.
GACGAACGCUGGCGGCGUGCUUAACACAUGCAAGUCGAACGGAAAGGCCCUGCUUUUGUGGGGUGCUCGAGUGGCGAACGGGUGAGUAACACGUGAGUAACCUGCCCUUGACUUUGGGAUAACUUCAGGAAACUGGGGCUCAUACCGGAUAGGAGCUCCUGCUGCAUGGUGGGGGUUGGAAAGUUUCGGCGGUUGGGGAUGGACUCGCGGCUUAUCAGCUUGUUGGUGGGGUAGUUGCUUACCAAGGCUUUGACGGGUAGCCGGCCUGAGAGGUGGACCGGCGACAAGGGGCCUACGAUACGGCCCAGUCUCGAAUGGGAGGCAGAAGUGGGGAAUCUUGCAGAAUGGGGGGAAGCGUGAUGCAGCGACGCCGCGUGCGUGAUGACGGCCUUCGGGUUGUAAACCGCUUUCGCCUGUGACGAAGCGUGAGUGACGGUAAUGGGUAAAGAAGCACCGGCUAACUACGUG